CGCGCUAAUGAGGAGGCCGGUGUUUUCUAAUCCUCUUUGCAAAUUGAUCAGACCAACGCGGGGAGAGACGAGUAGCAGUGGAAGACAGCAACGUUGAAUUUAGAGUUUGGGACAAAGUGGAUGACUCGGAGGCUCCUGGUGGCUCUACUGAUAAGCUGGUAGCGAUAGCUGGUCAGCUGGAGUAGACGUCUUGACUUGAAAUAUUAGAGUAGCAAGAGUAGGUUUUGGGUUUUGUUCGAUUAUACGCAUUCUCUUCAAUAUUGCACUGAGUAGCGAUAUUUGAUGUCAUGUUUCACUCAAAUUGGAUGCUGUGAAGUAUUGGGAGUAGCAUUGUUAGUGUUAGGAAUAAAGUAUAUUAGUAUGUGGCUUGGGGAGUGAAUUCAUAUCACACUGAAUAUUUAUGUGUUAAGAUGACUCAAACUGAGCCAUGCAAAGUGUUAGAAAUUGUUCUUUCUACUAGAAAUUCUUGGUAUUCUAAAGAUCACUGAUACAGCUUGUGGAAAUCAGUGGGCCACAAUAUCAAACUGUAUGUUUGUCUGGUGUUGUAUGUAGUUCAAUCUAUUGGAAAUCACAUCUUGUAUCCUCUUUGUUGAUAUCCUGAAAUUCACUCAAGUGGCUUGAGACUUUGUUGCAUUGAAUAUUUAGAAUGCAAGCUUGAACUGGUUCACAGGAAAUUUGUUUGGUAAAAGGGUUCUUACUGCUAUCUUAAAUAUCAUUGAAGAAUAUUGGAAAAAUUCAAAUACUAUAAUGUCAUACAGGUAGGUAUCUUCAUUGAACUAGAUUUUCUUCUAUCAGGAAAAGUGUCCUCUUUAGUAUCUUAGAAUUUAUUGAGUUACUUUAGAAACUUGAGUCUUACUUUGGAAGUUGAAUGUUGAUACAAAAGGCAUGAUACAUGCUUUGCAACAACUAUUUAUCUUUGAGUACUUCAUUAUCUUGAUAAUCAAUUAACACAAUCUGACCAUCAUUGGAUUACUUGAGCAAUCUACAUGUAUAAGUAAUGACAAUAGAAUUUAAGUACACUAUGUAUCACAGAAAGAGGAAUAUAUCUUUCAAGCGUGAUUUAGAUAAAAUCGACUGCGCUAAUUGGGCAUGCCGUCUAUUACAAAUGAGCUACUUAUGUGCUCUUGCCAGUCCAAUAUGAUCAAUUACUCUCGUCUACGCUAUGUUUAUCAAUUGUAACAGGCAAUUAGCUUGCAACUGUUCGUGCAUGGCCAACUUGUUGAGGAGAAAAAGAAAGGAUGGAGGAAAUUGAUCAACAGACUGUGAAGUUUGAAGCGUUUAUGAGAAACUUGCAGUUUCAAAUGAAAUAUUCAAUGUAACGUAUUUGUUAUAAUAUUCAGAUAGGAUGAGGAAAAACUGAAUCUGUAUAAUUAUUCAUAGCUUAUUGAUCAAUCAUGCGACGAGUUCAUUUAGGAUACUAGAGGUAACUCAAGGUGUAGUAAAUGUGAGAAUUUAUUAAGAACUGUAUAUCUGGUGUACGACAUAUUUGCACAUGUUAAAUUAAUUAAAUAAAUAUAAAAAUCACGCGAAAUCCUAAAUGAAACGUUAGCCAGCCAACUGUGUCAUUAAAAGCAUUUUCUUCAUUCUUUUUUUAAUUAUU
Molecule: long non-coding RNA, 1600 nt
Organism: Bombus impatiens (common eastern bumble bee)
Lineage: Eukaryota; Metazoa; Arthropoda; Insecta; Hymenoptera; Apidae
Exons: 3
Source: RefSeq, a predicted model, not a curated record